UGGGAGAUCGUCUAAUGGUAGGACAGCGGGUUCUGGUCCCGUCAGUGAGGGUUCGAAUCCUUCUCUCCCAA
Molecule: transfer RNA, 71 nt
Filed under: Candidatus Bipolaricaulota bacterium
Lineage: Bacteria; Candidatus Bipolaricaulota
Description: tRNA-Gln
Rfam family: tRNA
About the family: Transfer RNA (tRNA) molecules are approximately 80 nucleotides in length.
Source: RNAcentral